UGCGCCGAGCUUUAAUUAUGAAAACAUCUUAGCGGAAGUGACGUCGAUAUCCUUUAGCUGCAGUUUUGUUUUAGCUGGCUAGUACUAGCUACUAAACUUCAUCAUCAUAAAUCUAUCAUCUUCAACAAAUGGACUGUUGCGUUGUAUCCGCACUGUGUUGUUUUAUAUCACUUUAUUUCCUUAUUCACUUGCUGUGUUUUAUUUUCGCGGAUGCAGACUUCACUCUGCUGUGGGCAAGUCUGUUAGGACACAGGCCAGAGAAGAAGCUGAAAGGGCUGGUGGUGUGGGUCACUGGAGCCUCCAGUGGUAUUGGAGAGGAGCUGGCCCACCAGCUAGCAAGGUGUGGGUCACGUCUCAUCCUGUCUGCUCGACGCGAGGAUGAGCUCAAUAGGGUGAAACGUUGCUGUUUAGAGGGCUCCGGCCUCCAGGAUGAAGAUAUUCGUGUUCUUCCACUUGAUUUGUUGGAUAGGACAUCGCACGAGGAAAAAACAAAAGCAGCGAUUCAAUACUUUGGACAUAUUGAUGUCUUAAUUAACAAUGGCGGCCGAAGCCAGCGCUCUCUGUGCUUAGAGACCAGUGUUGAUGUGUAUCAGGCCUUGAUGGAGCUCAACUUCCUGGGUACGGUCUCCAUCUCUAAGCAGGUGCUGCCUCACAUGACUCAGCGAGGCACUGGGAGCAUUGUGACUGUCAGCAGCGUAGUUGGCCUUGCUGGGGCACCCCUGGCAACGGGAUACUCUGCCAGCAAACAUGCGCUUCAGGGCUUCUUUAAUUCCCUUCGGACUGAGAUGACUGACUUUCCAAACAUACUCAUCAGCACAGUGUGUCCAGGGCCGGUGCAGUCACAGAUUGUCCAAAAUGCCUUCACAGAGGAAUUGAACAAGCCUGUGGCAGCAGCUGGUAACCAGGAGCACAAGAUGCCAACAAGUCGCUGUGUGCGUUUAAUGCUGGUGGGAAUUUCCAAUGGUGUCAAGGAAAUGUGGAUUGCACAGCAGCCCUUUCUCCUGUUUUACUACGCCUGGCAGUACGCUCCAACAUUUGCCUGGUUCAUAACAAACAUGUUGGGCCGAAAAAGGGUGCAGAAUUUCAAAGCUGGCCUGGUAUGUACAGUAUAUCAUUUCCUUUUAGGAAAUCUAUGCGUAUAAAGUCAAUGUCAACUAAGGCUUAGGGUAUAUUUAUCAUAAGGGCGGUCUACCUAAAAUCAAAUAUUUCACCCUAGCAAGGGGUUAUGUGAUGGACUAUUUCUUGGUUCCAAGCAGUUGCCCAGCAAACAGGGUAGAAUACGAGAAGUUCCAGUUGUAACUAUUGUUUCAAAGUUGGAGGUAGAUAUACUGGAGAUUUACUAGGUCACUAAAUGUAUUGAGCUAAAAUGAGUGGAAACACCUGUUUGGGUGUAUCUUGGGUGUA
Molecule: RNA transcript, 1404 nt
Organism: Etheostoma cragini (Arkansas darter)
Lineage: Eukaryota; Metazoa; Chordata; Actinopteri; Perciformes; Percidae
Gene: dhrs7
Gene name: dehydrogenase/reductase (SDR family) member 7
Exons: 8
Source: RefSeq, a predicted model, not a curated record